GACGAACGCUGGCGGCGUGCUUAACACAUGCAAGUCGAACGGAAAGGCCCUGCUUUUGUGGGGUGCUCGAGUGGCGAACGGGUGAGGAACACGUGAGUAACCUGCCCUUGACUUUGGGAUAACUUCAGGAAACUGGGGCUAAGAUCGUAUAGGAGCUCCUGCUGCAUGGUGGGGGUGGGAAAGUUUCGGCGGUUGGGGAUGGACUCGCGGCUUAUCAGCUUGUUGGUGGGGUAGUGGCUUACCAAGGCUGUGGCGGGUAGCCGGCCUGAGAGGGUGACCGGCCACAUUGGGACUGAGAUAGGGCGCAGACUGCAACGGGAGGCAGCAGUGGGGAAUAUUGCACAAUGGGCGGAAGCCUGAUGCAGCAACGCCGCGUGCGGGAUGACGGCCUUCGGGUUGUAAACCGCUUUCGCCUGUGACGCAGCGGGAGUGACGGUAAUGAGUAAAGAAGCACCGGCUAACUACGUG
Molecule: ribosomal RNA, 468 nt
Filed under: uncultured bacterium
Lineage: Bacteria
Description: partial 16S ribosomal RNA
Rfam family: Bacterial small subunit ribosomal RNA
Source: RNAcentral